This 1641-nucleotide ribosomal RNA is filed under the name metagenome. RNAcentral's name for it is "SSU rRNA". It matches the Rfam family "Eukaryotic small subunit ribosomal RNA", at positions 324 to 1801 of the family's 1831-position model. The record is from RNAcentral.
GAAGGUAGUGUAGUGGACUACCUUGCCUCUGACGGGUAACGGGGGAUUGGGGUUCGAUUCCGGAGAGGGUGCCUGAGAAACGGCAACCAUGACUACGGUCAGCAGCAGGCGCGCAAAUUGCCCAAUGCUAACACAGCGAGGCAGCGACAAAAAAUAGUAUUUCUGCUCCAUUCUAUGGACCAGAAUGCAAUGGAUUGUAUCUAAUACACACUGUUGAGUAACUAUUGGAGGGCAAGUCUGGUGCCAGCAGCCGCGGUAAUUCCAGCUCCAAGAGCGUAUAUAAAUGUUGUUGCGGUUAAAAAGCCCGUAGUUGGAUUUGAGUGCAGAACUAGCAACUGUCUCCUGAGCUACUUCGGUAGUGAUGGUCAACAGGUGCAUAUUAGUAAUGCACUGAGACAUGCGGGAUCGUCCACGGGUUCUGGGGUCAUUAAGUUGGCUUCAGUUCUUUUCGGAGGGACUAUACUCCAUCAUGUGCGCCCGCAGCCGUCACUGUGAGUAAAACAGAGUGUUCAAGGCAACCAUUCUGGUUGAAUGUUAAAGUAUGGAAUGACAAGGGAUCGACCUUCGGGCCUCUUUUUGUUGGUUCUUUAAGGCUCCGCUAGGAGAAUUUCGUAGGUAGUUUCCUUGAUGUCGCUUCGGUGACUGAGAGGUCUGCCUAUUUACGGGAUCAAUAGGAGCACAGGGGGCUGUGGGUACUGGAGGGCUAGUGGUGAAAUACUGAGACCCCUCCAAGACCGACAUCAGCGAAAGCACUCGGCUAUUGUGCUUUCAUUAAUCAAGGACGAGAGAUCGGGGAUUGAAGAGGAUUAGACACCCUCGUAAUCCGUUCUGUAAAUACUGCAGACUUGGGAUCGGUCAGUGAUCUAAUCUAGACCUGAUCGGCACCUUCCUCCUCUAUCGAGAAAUCAAAGUUUUUGUGUUCCGGGGGGAGUACAUUCGCAAGGCUGAAACUUAAAGGAAUUGACGGAGAACCACCACCAGUUGUGGAGUGUGUGGCUUAAUUCGACCCAACACGGGAAAUUUUACCAGGCCAGGACGUGGUGAGGAUUGCCAGAUUGAUAGCUCUUGCAUGAUUUCGCGAAGGGUGGUGCAUGGCCGCUUCUGGUUGGUGAAGUGAUUUGUCUGCUUAAUUGCGUUAACGAACGAGAUCUCUGCCAAUUACUAGACGUCGGUGUCGCUUAAGGUGUUCGGAGUGCAUUUCCUUCACGGGAUUUGUUACCUCGAUACCGAGACGCUUGAUGCUUACUUAUUGGGAUUAUGUAAUCACAAUUACAUUGAAACAAGAGCCCAAAGCAGGUCUGUGAUGCUCCUAUAUGUUCUGGGCUGCACGCGCACUACACUGAUUCAGCCAACGAGCCUCUGACUUCGGUCAGCCUGUCCCGAGGGGGAACGGGGAAUCUUUUGAGCCUGAGUCGUGAUGGGGAUUGAUGAUAAUUGUAAUUAUUCUCCAUGAACGAGGAAUAUCUUGUAUCCGCGUUUCAUCAGAACGCAGAGAAUACGUCCCUGGUUCUUGUACACACCGCCCGUCGUUGCCUGUGAUGGAUUGUAAGUAGAGCUUUCUGGGGAUCAUCCUAGGUUCUAGGUUUUGUCGAAAUUAAGCAAUACUUGCAAUCUAGAAGAGGCAAAAGUCGUAACAAGGUA